CGCCCGGUCCCAUUCCGAACCCGGAAGCUAAGGCCUGGCACGGCGAUGGUACUGCACCCGACAGGGUGUGGGAGAGUAGCACGCCGCCGCAU
This 92-nucleotide ribosomal RNA is filed under the name Bifidobacterium longum. Lineage: Bacteria; Bacillati; Actinomycetota; Actinomycetes; Bifidobacteriales; Bifidobacteriaceae. The record is from RNAcentral.